RNAcentral lists this transfer RNA (74 nucleotides) under Thermoleophilia bacterium. RNAcentral describes it as "tRNA-Pro". It matches the Rfam family "tRNA". From Rfam's summary of the family: Transfer RNA (tRNA) molecules are approximately 80 nucleotides in length. Their secondary structure includes four short double-helical elements and three loops (D, anti-codon, and T loops). RNAcentral also lists the same sequence under 3 other names. The record is from RNAcentral. Lineage: Bacteria; Bacillati; Actinomycetota; Thermoleophilia.
CGGGACGUGGCGCAGCCUGGUAGCGCAUCUGCUUUGGGAGCAGAGGGUCGGAGGUUCAAAUCCUCUCGUCCCGA